GUGGUGCAUGGUUGUCGUCAGCUCGUGUCGUGAGAUGUUGGGUUAAGUCCCGCAACGAGCGCAACCCUUGAUUUUAGUUGCCAGCAUUUAGUUGGGCACUCUAAAGUGACUGCCGGUGCAAGCCGGAGGAAGGUGGGGAUGACGUCAAAUCAUCAUGCCCCUUAUGACCUGGGCUACACACGUGCUACAAUGGAUAGUACAAAGGGUCGCGAAGCCGCGAGGUGGAGCUAAUCCCAUAAAACUAUUCUCAGUUCGGAUUGUAGGCUGCAACUCGCCUACAUGAAGCCGGAAUCGCUAGUAAUCGUGGAUCAGCAUGCCACGGUGAAUACGUUCCCGGGCCUUGUACACACCGCCCGUCACACCACGAGAGUUUGUAACACCCGAAGUCGGUAGGGUAACCUUUAUGGAGCCAGCCGCCGAAGGUGGGACAGAUAAUUGGGGUGAAGUCGUAACAAGGUAGCCGUAUCGGAAGGUGCGGCUGGAUCACCUCCUUUCUAAGGAA
This 502-nucleotide ribosomal RNA is filed under the name Listeria monocytogenes. RNAcentral's name for it is "bacterial SSU rRNA". It matches the Rfam family "Bacterial small subunit ribosomal RNA", at positions 1038 to 1533 of the family's 1533-position model. Lineage: Bacteria; Bacillati; Bacillota; Bacilli; Caryophanales; Listeriaceae. The record is from RNAcentral.